GUAGUGUAGAGUAGAGUGGGGUAGAGUAGAGUAGAGUAGUGUAGUGUAGAGUGGGGUAGAGUAGAGUAGUGUAGAGUAGAGUAGAGUAGUGUAGAGUGGGGUAGAGUAGAGUAGUGUAGAGUAGUGUAGAGUAGAGUAGUAUAGAGUAGAGUAGAGUAGAGUAGAGUAGAGUAGAGUAGAGUAGAGUAGAGUAGAGUAGAGUAGUGUAGAGUAGAGUAGAGUAGAGUAGAGUAGAGUAGUGUAGAGUAGAGUAGUGUAGAGUAGUGUAGAGUAGAGUAGAGUUGAGUAGAGUAGUGUAGAGGAGAGUAGAGUACUGUAGAGUAGAGUAGUGUAGAGUAGAGUAGUGUAGAGUAGAGUAGUGUAGUGUAGAGUAGAGGAGAGGGGAGGAGAGGAGAGUAGAGUAGUGUAGUGUAGUGUAGUGUAGAGUACAGUAGAGUAGAGUAGUGUAGAGUACUAUAGAGUAGAGUAGAGUAGAGGAGAGUAGAGGAGAGUAGUGUAGUGUAGUGUAGUGUAGAGUACAGUAGAGUAGAGUAGUGUAGAGUACUAUAGAAGGAGAGUAGUGUAGUGUAGUGUAGUGUAGAGUACAGUAGAGUAGAGUAGUGUAGAGUACUAUAGAGUAGAGUAGAGUAGAGGAGAGUAGUGUAGAGUAGAGUACUGUCGAGUAGAGUAGAGUACUGUAGAAUAGAGUACAGUAGAGUACAGUAGUCUAG
This is a long non-coding RNA of Oncorhynchus tshawytscha (Chinook salmon), 710 nucleotides long. Lineage: Eukaryota; Metazoa; Chordata; Actinopteri; Salmoniformes; Salmonidae. The record is from Ensembl.